GGCCUCGUAGUUCAGUUGGAUAGAACACCAGUUUCCUAAACUGGGUGUCGCAGGUUCGAGUCCUGCCGAGGCUA
This 74-nucleotide transfer RNA is filed under the name Bacteroidota bacterium. Its description in RNAcentral is "tRNA-Arg". It matches the Rfam family "tRNA". From Rfam's summary of the family: Transfer RNA (tRNA) molecules are approximately 80 nucleotides in length. Lineage: Bacteria; Pseudomonadati; Bacteroidota. The record is from RNAcentral.